AAUCACAUAACUGAAAUUAAUGACGCAACUGAAACUAAAAGAUAAUCACACAGUAAGAUAUUAGUGAUUAAUUAAGUAAAUAUAGACAACUCCAUUUGGCUCCUAACAGAAGAAUAACAUCUUCUGUAAUUCUUGUUUUAGCGCCUGUUUGUCUAUUUUUUGUUGUUCGAAUUUAUUUCGGAGAGAAAGCGAGUGAUAAUAAUGUAGAUACCGGUUCUAGACAGCUGCAUAAAGUCUUAAAGUGGAACUCAAAAGCAGUUCCGUCAUGUCAUGUAAACAAGAAAAAAGAAAAGAAAAGAGAAGAGAAAGUUAGAAAGAAAUCCUGAUUCUUGCUUAAUAUUGAAGAUGGAGUAAACUAAAGGAAAAUCACAUUAGCCCGGCAGUGAAUCUGGGACGUCGAUCCCAAAUCUAUUCUCUCGUUAUGAAGAGACCUGAACCUCAAGCCGAAUGAGUUCAAAUACCACGGUCGUAACUAAAAUCUACCGAGAUAGAAAGAAAAGUUUUGGAAUAGAUUCUUAGUCUUUUUAGUGAUGUAGCGUGGAGUAAAGGGGGCGGCUGAACCCUCGAUGUCCCUUUGUGAGCUCGAAAAGACAAUAUUUAUAGGCCACAAAGAUAGAAUUUUGAAAGCGGGAACUUGAUGUUAGGAGUUCGAAAUCGACUGUUUGAAUCCAGAC
This 674-nucleotide long non-coding RNA is filed under the name Nicotiana benthamiana. RNAcentral's name for it is "long non-coding RNA (NBEN_LNC034572)". The record is from RNAcentral. Lineage: Eukaryota; Viridiplantae; Streptophyta; Magnoliopsida; Solanales; Solanaceae.